RNAcentral lists this long non-coding RNA (438 nucleotides) under Cricetulus griseus (Chinese hamster). Its description in RNAcentral is "lncRNA (ENSCGRG00015038337.1)". The record is from RNAcentral. Lineage: Eukaryota; Metazoa; Chordata; Mammalia; Rodentia; Cricetidae.
AUGAGAAAAGGCUUUACCACACUGAUUACAUUCAUAGGGUUUCUCUCCAGUAUGUGUCCUUUUAUGCAUUUGAAGAGCACUGUGAUGAGAAAAGGCUUUCCCACACUGAUUACAUUCAUAGGGUUUCUCUCCAGUAUGUAUGUUUUUAUGCAUUUGAAGAGUAGUGUGCUGAGAAAAGGCUUUACCACACUGAUUACAUUCAUAGGGUUUUUCUCCAGUAUGUAUUCUUUUAUGCAUUUGAAGAGCACUGUGAUGAGAAAAGGCUUUACUACAUUGAUUACAUUCGUGGGUUUUCUCCCCUCUAUGUCUUCUUUGAUGAAUAAGAAGAUAACUGUGAGAUGCAAAGGCUUUAACACGUUGGUUACAUUCAUAUGAUUUCUCUCCAGUGUGUUUUCUUUCAUAACUUUGGAGAGAACUGUUAUUUUCAAAGGCUUUAUC